AGUUGAGCUUGGGGACUGCAGCUGUGGGGAGAUUUCAGUGCAUUGCCUCCCCUGGGUGGUCUUCAUCUUGGAUUUGAAAGUUGAGAGCAGCAUGUUUUGCCCACUGAAACUCAUCCUGCUGCCAGUGUUACUGGAUUAUUCCUUGGGCCUGAAUGACUUGAAUGUUUCCCCCACUGAGCUAACAGUCCAUGUGGGUGAUUCGGCCCUGAUGGGAUGUGUUUUCCAGAGCACAGAAGACAAAUGCAUAUUCAAGAUAGACUGGAUUCUGUCACCAGGAGAGCACGCCAAGGACGAAUAUGUGCUAUACUAUUACUCCAAUCUCAGUGUGCCUAUAGGGCGCUUCCAGAACCGCGUACACUUGAUGGGGGACAUCUUAUGCAAUGAUGGCUCUCUCCUGCUCCAAGAUGUGCAAGAGGCUGACCAGGGAACCUAUACCUGUGAAAUCCGCCUCAAAGGGGAGAGCCAGGUGUUCAAGAAGGCGGUGGUACUGCAUGUGCUUCCAGAGGAGCCCAAAGAGCUCGUGGUCCGUGUGGGUGAAUUGAUUCAGAUGGGAUGUGUUUUCCAGAGCACAGAAGUGAAACACGUGACCAAGGUAGAAUGGAUAUUUUCAGGACGGCGCGCAAAGGAGGAGAUUGUGUUUCGUUACUACCACAAACUCAGGAUGUCUGCGGAGUACUCCCAGAGCUGGGGCCACUUCCAGAAUCGUGUGAACCUGGUGGGGGAAAUUUUCCGCAAUGAUGGUUCCAUCAUGCUUCAAGGAGUGAGGGAGUCAGAUGGAGGAAACUACACCUGCAGUAUCCACCUAGGGAACCUGGUGUUCAAGAAAACCAUUGUGCUGCAUGUCAGCCCGGAAGAGCCUCGAACACUGGUGACCCCGGCAGCCCUGAGGCCUCUGGUCCUGGGUGGUAAUCAGCUGGUGAUCAUCGUGGGAAUUGUCUGUGCCACAAUCCUGCUGCUUCCUGUUCUGAUAUUGAUCGUGAAGAGGACCUGUGGGAAUAGGAGUUCGUUGAAUUCUACAGUCUUGGUGAAGAACACGAAGGAGACUAAUCCGGAGAUAAAAGAAAAACCCUGCCAUUUUGAAAGAUAUGAAGGGGAGGUGAACACACGCUUCAGCCUAAAACACUAAGUAGAUGCAGGCCUAGGCCGUUCUCAUUCCCCCGGGAACCAUAUCUUACCCAUUGUACGUCGCAGCUUGCAGGCCAGUGCUUGGCACAGAGCAGGGACUCAGGAAGCCUUUGUCGCUAAAGUAAGAGCCUCUGCGGAGUACAGUGCAUGGGGCCGGCUGGGCCAGCCCCGGGCAGCAGAUCCUGGUAUUGGGCUGAGGAAAGAGCACUGCGCUUGGAGUCAGAAAGAUCUGCCACCUCCCUGAGUCUCAUUAGCAAAAUGAGGAUAAGGAUAAAGAUGUUAUAGUUGCCCAGCCUGCUUGACAGGGUUGUUGUAAGGCUCACAUAAGGUGAUGAUAUGCAAAUGCUUUGUAAUCUAGGA
RNAcentral lists this small RNA (1485 nucleotides) under Pongo abelii (Sumatran orangutan). RNAcentral describes it as "retained intron". Lineage: Eukaryota; Metazoa; Chordata; Mammalia; Primates; Hominidae. The record is from RNAcentral.